This 1003-nucleotide ribosomal RNA is filed under the name uncultured bacterium. RNAcentral's name for it is "bacterial SSU rRNA". It matches the Rfam family "Bacterial small subunit ribosomal RNA", at positions 8 to 996 of the family's 1533-position model. The record is from RNAcentral.
AGAGUUUGAUCCUGGCUCAGGAUGAACGCUAGCUACAGGCUUAACACAUGCAAGUCGAGGGGCAUCAUGGAGUUUGCUUGCAAACUCUGAUGGCGACCGGCGCACGGGUGAGUAACGCGUAUCCAACCUUCCCUAUAGUAGAGGAUAGCCCGGCGAAAGUCGGAUUAAUACUCUAUGUUUUCCGUUGCAGACAUCUAAGAUGGAACAAAGGCUUGCCGCUAUAGGAUGGGGAUGCGUCUGAUUAGGUAGUCGGCGGGGUAACGGCCCACCGAGCCAUCGAUCAGUAGGGGUUCUGAGAGGAAGGUCCCCCACAUUGGAACUGAGACACGGUCCAAACUCCUACGGGAGGCAGCAGUGAGGAAUAUUGGUCAAUGGGCGAGAGCCUGAACCAGCCAAGUAGCGUGCAGGACGACGGCCCUAUGGGUUGUAAACUGCUUUUAUGCGGGGAUAAAGUUCACUACGUGUAGUGUUUUGUAGGUACCGCAUGAAUAAGGACCGGCUAAUUCCGUGCCAGCAGCCGCGGUAAUACGGAAGGUCCGGGCGUUAUCCGGAUUUAUUGGGUUUAAAGGGAGCGCAGGCCGGAGGUCAAGCGUGACGUGAAAUGUAGCCGCUCAACGGCUGAACUGCGUCGCGAACUGGCUUUCUUGAGUGAGUUCGAUGUGGGCGGAAUUCGUGGUGUAGCGGUGAAAUGCUUAGAUAUCACGAAGAACUCCGAUUGCGAAGGCAGCCCACAAGGCCUUUACUGACGCUAAAGCUCGAAGGUGCGGGUAUCGAACAGGAUUAGAUACCCUGGUAGUCCGCACGGUAAACAAUGGAUGCCCCCUAUUCCCCCCUCCAGGGCGUGUGGCCAAACGAAAGCGUUAAACCUUCCCCCCCCGGGAAUUCCCCCGGCAACGGUGAAACUCAAAGGAAUUGACCGGGGCCCCCCCCAACCGAAGAAACUGUGGGUUUAAUUCCAAUAACCCCCAAGGAACCUUACCCCGGGCUUUGAAUUGCAGGAAAA